This 392-nucleotide ribosomal RNA is filed under the name uncultured bacterium. Its description in RNAcentral is "partial 16S ribosomal RNA". It matches the Rfam family "Bacterial small subunit ribosomal RNA", at positions 523 to 918 of the family's 1533-position model. The record is from RNAcentral.
AUACGUAGGUGGCAAGCGUUGUCCGGAAUUAUUGGGCGUAAAGCGCAUGUAGGUGGUUUUUUAAGCGGGAGGUUUAAGGCUACGGCUUAACCGUAGUUCGCCUCUCGAACUGGAAGACUUGAGUGAAGGAGAGGAAAGCGGAAUUCCUAGUGUAGCGGGGAAAUGCGUAGAUAUUAGGAGGAACACCGGUGGCGAAGGCGGCUUUCUGGACUGUAACUGACACUGAGGUACGAAAGCGCGGGGAGCAAACAGGAUUAGAUUCCCUGGUAGUCCACGCCGUAAACGAUGAGCACUAGGUGUCGGGUCAAAAGGCUCGGUGCCGAAGUUAACGCAUUAAGUGCUCCGCCUGGGGAGUACGUACGCAAGUAUGAAACUCAAAGGAAUCGACGGGG